RNAcentral lists this long non-coding RNA (1186 nucleotides) under Chrysemys picta bellii (western painted turtle). RNAcentral's name for it is "lncRNA (ENSCPBG00000018260.1)". Lineage: Eukaryota; Metazoa; Chordata; Testudines; Emydidae. The record is from RNAcentral.
UAACAGAGCCCUCCCCCCCCCAGCUCACAGCCUGGUGCUGCCCCCCCGCCAUGUGCCCAGCAGGGGGUGCUGCACUCCCCUGGGGGGGGGCAUCCAUGGUUCUAUUUGAUGCAGUUCUGAAUACAGCAUCCUCCAGCCAUAGUCUGGCGGGGUGGGGGAGAGAAGAGGGGUCAUAGAGUUCAGCGCACCCCCGGCAGGUAGCCCAGCUGUGGGGCUGGGGACAGACAAGGCACUUUUCAGGGUGUCCGGGGUUGUUUCCAUCCCAGGCAACUUGUUUCAGCAGGAGAGGGCCGGACAUAGAGCAAAGGUGGACACAUAAUGGACAGAGCUAUGGGUGGUGGACAGACAGACAGCUGUUCGGGGUGUGCUGGGAGGGAUGGAUAGAGGGGUGUGGAAGAAGGAAUGGAUAGAUAGAUACAGAGGUUGGGGGAUGGAUGGGGGUAAGAUGGCUAGAGGGAGUGUGGAAGAAGGGAUGGAUGGAUAGUUAGAUAGAUACAGGGGUUGGGGGAUGGCUGGUUAGAUAUAUACAGGAGGUCUGGGGGAAGAUGGAUGGAUGGAUAGAGGGGCAGGGGAUGAACAGGUGGAUAGACAGAGGGGUUGGGGGAUGGAUAGAGGGGGUACGGGGGGAAGAUGGAUGGAUACAGGGCUUGGGGGAUGGAUGGAUAGAGGGGGUACGGGGAGAAGAUGGAUGGAUAGACACAGGGCUUGGGGGAUGGAUGGAGGGGGUACGGGGGGAAGAUGGAUGGAUAGAUACAGGGCUUGGGGGAUGAAUGGAUAGAGGGGGUACGGGGGGAAGAUGGAUGGAUAGAUACAGGGCUUGGGGGAUGAAUGGAUAGAGGGGUACGGGGGAAGGAUGGAUGGAUAGACACAGGGCUUGGGGGAUGGAUGGAGGUAGGGGGGAAGAUGGAUGGAUAGAUACAGGGGUUGGGGGCUGGAUGGAUGGAUAGAGGGGAUGUGGAGGGAUGGAUGGACGCAUACCUAAAAUCGUAUUGAUGGAUGGCAUGAGGAAGUGGAAAUUUGCUGUAAUAUUUUUGAGGCCCAUGUUUGCCUCAGUUUCCCUCUGUGAUUUGCGCGGCUCCCCCGUGGGGGCUGAAGGGUUACAAAGCUGCUCUCGGGACAGAGCUGGCGCCAUGGGGGUGGGGCCAUGGACCGCGGGGGGUGGGAUGAACAGGGUGUUAAAGGGGCA